AUUGAACGCUGGCGGCAGGCUUAACACAUGCAAGUCGAGCGGAGUGAUGGUGCUUGCACUAUCACUUAGCGGCGGACGGGUGAGUAAUGCUUAGGAAUCUGCCUAUUAGUGGGGGACGACAUCUCGAAAGGGAUGCUAAUACCGCAUACGUCCUACGGGAGAAAGCAGGGGAUCACUUGUGACCUUGCGCUAAUAGAUGAGCCUAAGUCGGAUUAGCUAGUUGGUGGGGUAAAGGCCUACCAAGGCGACGAUCUGUAGCGGGUCUGAGAGGAUGAUCCGCCACACUGGGACUGAGACACGGCCCAGACUCCUACGGGAGGCAGCAGUGGGGAAUAUCGGACAAUGGGGGGAACCCUGAUCCAGCCAUGCCGCGUGUGUGAAGAAGGCCUUGUGGUUGUAAAGCACUUUAAGCGAGGAGGAGGCUCUUUUGGUUAAUACCCAAGAUGAGUGGACGUUACUCGCAGAAUAAGCACCGGCUAACUCUGUGCCAGCAGCCGCAGUAA
RNAcentral lists this ribosomal RNA (503 nucleotides) under uncultured bacterium. RNAcentral describes it as "partial 16S ribosomal RNA". It matches the Rfam family "Bacterial small subunit ribosomal RNA", at positions 30 to 523 of the family's 1533-position model. The record is from RNAcentral.